CUACGGGUCGCUCCAGUGGGGAAUAUUGGGCAAUGGGCGCAAGCCUGACCCAGCAACGCCGCGUGAGGGAAGAAGGUUUUCGGAUUGUAAACCUCUGUCCUUGGGGACGAAGAAGUGACGGUACCCAAGGAGGAAGCUCCGGCUAACUACGUGCCAGCAGCCGCGGUAAUACGUAGGGAGCAAGCGUUGUCCGGAAUUACUAGGCGUAAAGGGUGCGUAGGCGGCAUAUUAAGUCAGGUGUGAAAUACUCGGGCUCAACCCGGGGGCUGCAUUUGAAACUGAUAUGCUUGAGUGUGAGAGAGGAAAGUGGAAUUCCUAGUGUAGCGGUGGAAUGCGUAGAUAUUAGGAGGAACACCAGUGGCGAAGGCGACUUUCUGGCUCAUAACUGACGCUGAGGCACGAAAGCGUGGGGAGCAAACAGGAUUAGAUACCCGGGUAGUC
Molecule: ribosomal RNA, 441 nt
Filed under: uncultured bacterium
Lineage: Bacteria
Description: partial 16S ribosomal RNA
Rfam family: Bacterial small subunit ribosomal RNA
Source: RNAcentral